RNAcentral lists this ribosomal RNA (534 nucleotides) under uncultured bacterium. Its description in RNAcentral is "bacterial SSU rRNA". It matches the Rfam family "Bacterial small subunit ribosomal RNA", at positions 336 to 870 of the family's 1533-position model. The record is from RNAcentral.
CUCCUACGGGUGGCUGCAGUGAGGAAUAUUGGACAAUGGGUGCAAGCCUGAUCCAGCCAUCCCGCGUGAAGGAUUAAGGUCCUAUGGAUUGUAAACUUCUUUUAUACAGGGAUAAACCUCUCCUCGUGAGGAGAGCUGAAGGUACUGUAUGAAUAAGCACCGGCUAACUCCGUGCCAGCAGCCGCGGUAAUACGGAGGGUGCAAGCGUUAUCCGGAUUUAUUGGGUUUAAAGGGUCCGUAGGCGGGCCGAUAAGUCAGUGGUGAAAUCUCGCAGCUUAACUGUGAAACUGCCAUUGAUACUGUCGGUCUUGAGUAAAUUUGAAGUGGCUGGAAUAAGUAGUGUAGCGGUGAAAUGCAUAGAUAUUACUUAGAACACCAAUUGCGAAGGCAGGUCACUAAGAUUUAACUGACGCUGAUGGACGAAAGCGUGGGUAGCGAACAGGAUUAGAUACCCUGGUAGUCCACGCCGUAAACGAUGCUAACUCGUUUUUGGGCACUUGUGCUCAGAGACCAAGCGAAAGUGAUAAGUUAGCC